UCAACUCGUUUUCCACUUGAUAAAGUAAUCCUCUAACUGUCACCUAAUGGAGCCUUUCCUUUCUUAAGCUUCGCGACCUCGUCUUUCGAAUCUACACGCGUAAUAAUGCUAACUUUAGUAUCCCUUUCAAUACUCAACAUUCACUUAGGACGUCUAAACUAACCUACCCCAUCGAUUCACGUAUCAUUUACUCGUAUAUAAACUUCAUACAAAUACACAUGACAUAAUCACAUAUAACUGUAACACGUAACACAUAAUCACAUUUGUCACAUAAUAUAUUAUAAGCAAGUAAGUUAAUAAAAUACAUAGGUGCGCCUCUAAAAAGUAUUAUUAUUAUUAUAUAUAAAAAUUCUGGCAGCACCUCCUUUGUUUUAUCAACUUCCAGUCGGACUCAAGCCGACACCAACAACCAAACACAACAUUAUAAUCAAAUAAAAAUUUCUAUUACAAAGAAUAUACAUAUAUAUAUAUAUAUAUAUAUAUAUAUGCAUCAUUUAAAACCAACCAACAACUUUAUUGUCUCAUUUUUCACCAUGUACUAAUACCAAAAUUAUAAAUUAAAAUUUUGUAACUCAAACCCAAAAUCUUUUUAUUCCAAUAAAUCCGAAAGUUUAUUUACUUAAAUUUUCAUACUAAACACUUCUCCAAACUCAUUCAUAUAGCCCCUCAAAUAUAUUAAAUACUGAUUUCAAUAUUCUAGCCAAUGACGGCUCGCCACGUCAUCAUCUUCUUCAUCACAUCAACCAGAAUUUCUCUCUCCUCGAAGUCAACUGCCAUGACCAAACUUUGACCGCCUAUAACUCAUUCAUUUUUAAUCCGAUUAACAUGAUUCAAGAGCCUAUUCCAGCUAAUUUUUCACAAGGAAUUCAAAUAUGUCAUUUAUUUUAGAAUCAGAGUUCAUAUAAGCCCUGAACGAACUGAUUUACAGUAGCAGCCACUCCACUUUAUUCUGGAAAAAAAAAUAUAAACACAUAAUAACAUAAUAUACUCAUCAUAUGAACACAAAACACUUAAUCAAAUACCAACAACACAUAACCAAACUGAUUAAACCCUUUUCGAAACAUCAACAAAACUUUUACAAAAUCCAACAUGUAACUCGGAUUACAUAUUUAGACGAGAUAAUAUGAAUACUUUUGGACUCAAAGUAGCAUCAUCGCUCCCGCCGGCUCACCGGAGCUCAUCACCGGCGGCGGCAAAACCCGGAGGUGCCCGAAUCGGGUCUCCAGUCACGGGUUCCACCAAUUAAUAAUCGUUUAAGCCAAAGCCCCAUGCUAAUUUCAUCAAAAACGAAGUAUAUUUUCAGAAAUCAAACCCGACCCGAAGUGGGUUCUUCAAAAAUCAGACCAUGCAUACAACUAUACACGCACACACGCACAUACCAGUGUUUAGGAGAAGGAGAAGAGUAAUAAUCGGACAUCAAUUCAACGAAUUAGCCGAAAAGUCAAGAAAGAGAAGAAGAGAGAUGAAGUACCGAGAGAGAAGAGAAAAGAAGAAUGGAGAAGAGUCGAGAGAUGGAGAGAAUUGGGGUGAGU
This 1532-nucleotide long non-coding RNA is filed under the name Daucus carota (carrot). Its description in RNAcentral is "long non-coding RNA (DCAR_LNC006830)". Lineage: Eukaryota; Viridiplantae; Streptophyta; Magnoliopsida; Apiales; Apiaceae. The record is from RNAcentral.